This 486-nucleotide ribosomal RNA is filed under the name uncultured bacterium. RNAcentral describes it as "partial 16S ribosomal RNA". It matches the Rfam family "Bacterial small subunit ribosomal RNA", at positions 28 to 507 of the family's 1533-position model. The record is from RNAcentral.
GAUGAACGCUGGCGGCGUGCCUAAUACAUGCAAGUCGAACGCUGGAAAUCUAGCUUGCUAGAUUGAAGGAGUGGCGAACGGGUGAGUAAUACAUAAGCAACCUACCCACGAAGACUGGGAUAAUCUCUGGAAACGGGGACUAAUACCGGAUAGGUAAUCGGAAGGCAUCUUCUGAUUAUUAAAGGUUAAAAACACUGGUGGAUGGGCUUAUGGCGCAUUAGUUAGUUGGUGAGGUAACGGCCCACCAAGACGAUGAUGCGUAGCCGGCCUGAGAGGGUGAACGGCCACAUUGGGACUGAGGCACGGCCCAGAAUCCUACGGGAGGCAGGAGUAGGGAAUUUUCGGGAAUGGGGGAAACCCUGACCGAGCAACGCCGCGUGAGUGAUGACGGCCUUCGGGUUGUAAAGCUCUGUUGUAAGGGAAGAACGGUAGAUAGAGAAUAUCUAAAUGACGGUACCUUACCAGAAAGCCACGGCUAACUACGUG